This 73-nucleotide transfer RNA is filed under the name Flavobacteriales bacterium. RNAcentral's name for it is "tRNA-Gln". It matches the Rfam family "tRNA". From Rfam's summary of the family: Transfer RNA (tRNA) molecules are approximately 80 nucleotides in length. Their secondary structure includes four short double-helical elements and three loops (D, anti-codon, and T loops). Further hydrogen bonds mediate the characteristic L-shaped molecular structure. tRNAs have two regions of fundamental functional importance: the anti-codon, which is responsible for specific mRNA codon recognition, and the 3' end, to which the tRNAs corresponding amino acid is attached (by aminoacyl-tRNA synthetases). tRNAs cope with the degeneracy of the genetic code in two manners: having more than one tRNA (with a specific anti-codon) for a particular amino acid; and 'wobble' base-pairing, i.e. permitting non-standard base-pairing at the 3rd anti-codon position. Lineage: Bacteria; Pseudomonadati; Bacteroidota; Flavobacteriia; Flavobacteriales. The record is from RNAcentral.
UGGCCCAUGGUGUAACUGGCAACACGUCUGAUUUUGGUUCAGAAGAGUCCAGGUUCGAGCCCUGGUGGGCCAA